GACGAACGCUGGCGGCGUGCCUAAUACAUGCAAGUAGAACGCACAGUUUAUACCGUAGCUUGCUCCACCAUAGACUGUGAGUUGCGAACGGUUGAGUAACGCGUAGUUAACCUGCCUGUUAGCGGGGGAUAACUAUUGGAAACGAUAGCUAAUACCGCAUAAUAUUAAUUAUUGCAUGAUAAUUAAUUGAAAGGUGCAAUUGCACCACUACCAGAUGGACCUGCGUUGUAUUAGCUAGUAGGUGAGGUAACGGCUCACCUAGGCGACGAUACAUAGCCGACCAGAGAGGGUGAGAGGCCACACUGGGACUGAGACACGGCCCAGACUCCUACGGGAGGCAGCCGUCGGGAAUUCUCGGCAAUGGACGAAAGUCUGACCGAGCAACGCCGCGUGAGUGAAGAAGGUUGUCGGAUCGUAAAGCUCUGUUGUAAGAGAAGAACGGGUGUGAGAGUGGAAAGUUCACACUGUGACAGUAUCUUACCAGAAAGAGACGGCUAACUACGUG
RNAcentral lists this ribosomal RNA (505 nucleotides) under uncultured bacterium. RNAcentral's name for it is "partial 16S ribosomal RNA". It matches the Rfam family "Bacterial small subunit ribosomal RNA", at positions 28 to 507 of the family's 1533-position model. The record is from RNAcentral.